Long non-coding RNA from Oncorhynchus tshawytscha (Chinook salmon), 2159 nucleotides. The record is from Ensembl. Lineage: Eukaryota; Metazoa; Chordata; Actinopteri; Salmoniformes; Salmonidae.
UUCACUCAUGAAUGCACGGCCAGGCACGACUCCAACACCAUCAUCAAGUUUGCUGAUGACACAACAGUGGUAGGCCUGGUCACUGACAACGAUAGGGAGGAGGUGAGAGACCUGACCGUGUGUUGCAAGGACAACAACCUCUCCCUCAAUGUGAUCAAGACAAAGGAGAUGAUUGUGGACUACUGGAAAAGGAGGCCCGAACACGCCCCCAUUCACAUCGAUGGGGCUGUAGUGGAACAGGAUGAGAGCUUCAAGUUCCUUGGAGUCUACAUCAACAACAAACUAACAUGGUCCAAGCACAACAAGAAAGUCGUGAAGAGGGCAUGAUAAAACCUAUUCCCACACAGGAGACUGAAAAGAUUUGGCAUGUGUCCUCAGAUCCUCAAAAGGUUUUACAGCUGCACCAUCGAGAGCAUCCGGACGGGUUGCAUCACUGCCUGGUGUGGCAACUGCUCAGCCUCCGACCGCAAGGCACUACAGAGGGUAGUGCGAACAGCCCAGUACAUCACCGGGGCCAAGCUUCCUACCAUCCAGGACCUCUAUACCAGGCAGUGUCAGAGGAAGGCCCUAAAAAAUGUCAGAGACUCCAGCCAGCCUACACAUAGACGGUUCUCUCUACUACAGCAUGGCAAGCACUACCCCCAAGCCUUAAGACUCCUGAACAGCUAAUCAAAUGGCUACCCAGACUGCAUUGUUGGUUAAGGGCUUGUAAGUAAGCAUUUCACUGUAAGAUCUACACCUGUUGUAUUCAGCGCAUGUGACAAAUACAAUUUGAUUUGAUUUGAUUAUAAUUUACCAGUUUCUCACAGUUAUUUAUCCCAGUUAUUUAUCCUGGGAAAAGGCAGUGGUUUUGAGUGGUAAAUUCCAGUAAAUCUUGGUAACCAGGUUGCCACUAUUCAACCCUAAUAAGAACUGAAAGACAAAUGAUACAAGUAGUAAAAACAGCUCAUGCAGUUUGUGGCCAUCAAGCGUGCACGUUACCUAAAUUGUGGCUGAAGCUUCAAUGAGCUGUGAAAUGAAUUGUCAUUGGAGAAAAAAAGUAUUAGUUUGAAAAUUAUUGCACUUUAUUAGUCAAUUCACCCAUAUUUAGGAACAGAACAUAUUCUAAUAUAAUUAUUUUAUGCCCUAAUGAACGAAAAAUCUAAUAUGGGCUGAAACCUAAGGUCUAAUGAAUUUGCAGUUUCGCUGAAAAUCAUGCAUUGAUGUCAAUAGGAGAUUUAUGUGAAAGUUUUAGCUGGAAGUACAGUUCUCAAGUUAGGAUUCAGCCAUAAUUGAAUAAAAUAACAUAGUCUAGUCAUAGUUAUUUAACCUGAAACUUUAAACUGUAACACUAACCAACACACUCUGGGAUUCAAUAAUGAGAUAGCUAAACAUGCAUGAGAUUGAAUGCAUAGAAAUUACAGUGAAGUUUAUGAUUUCAGCCGAUCUGCUGAGUGGAAGGCAUUAACUACAGAUUCAUACAUCCAUGGCUCUGCUAGCCAUAGCUCUGCUAUUCAUUCAUAUCCAUAUUGCGAUUCUAUUCAAUUAGCUGAUGAAAUAGGCAUGCACAUAUUUAUGACCAUUCUUACAAAUCAUUUUUGCAGUUCUGUUAUACUGUAUCUACCGGUUUACACUUCAUAUUAAGUUGCUGUAACUGUACGGUAACCCUGUUAUUAUACUAGCAUCAACAUUGUACUAACAUGUUAUCACAACAAUGCCUCUGAUGGUGUGUGCCCCAUUAAAUCCUCAUCCUGACAAUGACAAACUGUUCCAAACACGUAUGAGGCCUAAGAUGUGCAUAUCCAAUGGAACUUUUCCAGGUGCUGAAUUGACUGAACAGUUCAAGAAAACUGAAUUCCUUUAACUGUACACAAAGUGCUCCUCUACACUUUUACAACCCGAGUGUGUCAUCCCUAAAUGUACCAAGAUUAAAUGUACAACAUAGAGAAUGUAGUAUAAAUAUAUGAAUACAAGUUCAAAGAUAACUGGUAAGAAAUACUGAUGAGUUAUUCCACCGUUACCUCUAUGUCAAGCUCUGGUUGAAGAAUGACUGGACACUGAGGACUGGGCUUCAACAUGUCUGGCACUGGCUUAGUCACCGGUUCAUCUUCAAAAACAAAGGUCAACAGUUAAUCACACUACCCAUUAUUCUAAAUGUACACUUUCAUAUAAAACUCUGU